RNAcentral lists this ribosomal RNA (498 nucleotides) under uncultured bacterium. RNAcentral describes it as "partial 16S ribosomal RNA". It matches the Rfam family "Bacterial small subunit ribosomal RNA", at positions 30 to 523 of the family's 1533-position model. The record is from RNAcentral.
AUUGAACGCUGGCGGCAUGCCUUACACAUGCAAGUCGAACGGUAACAGGUCUUCGGAUGCUGACGAGUGGCGAACGGGUGAGUAAUACAUCGGAACGUGCCCGAGAGUGGGGGAUAACGAAGCGAAAGCUUUGCUAAUACCGCAUACGAUCUCAGGAUGAAAGCAGGGGACCGCAAGGCCUUGCGCUCACGGAGCGGCCGAUGGCAGAUUAGGUAGUUGGUGGGAUAAAAGCUUACCAAGCCGACGAUCUGUAGCUGGUCUGAGAGGACGACCAGCCACACUGGGACUGAGACACGGCCCAGACUCCUACGGGAGGCAGCAGUGGGGAAUUUUGGACAAUGGGCGCAAGCCUGAUCCAGCCAUGCCGCGUGCAGGAUGAAGGCCUUCGGGUUGUAAACUGCUUUUGUACGGAACGAAAAGACUCUGGUUAAUACCUGGGGUCCAUGACGGUACCGUAAGAAUAAGCACCGGCUAACUACGUGCCAGCAGCCGCCGCCG